ACUAGCUUGCACUUGCAAAAUAGGCAUAACAGCAGCUGAGUAAAAUCCAAAUUAGAAAAUUUUAUGGUGUAAAUAGACCUUGUGUUGUGGGAGAUUAGCCCAAAUGCAUAUAACUUGCAAUUACACAAACUUCCUUUUAGAAAACUUUAUGAUUUGUUUUCUUGAUGUAUUCUUGCGGACGAAUCACAUAUACCAAGCUAAGUCGGAGUAUUGUUUAUUUCUCAAGAUCAAACAUUAGAUCAUCUCUGUCUGGACUAUCCUAUAUUCUGCUGGAUUUUGUUUUAGAAGGUGCCUCUCGACUGGUCUUUAACCGGCCCGGAACAUAUUGGUUUGCAGGUGAUUUCAGUGUCUGGUCCACCAUCAAGAUAUGCUGAGAAGUGGCUAGAAGAUCAGCAUUAUUCAUCUUUUUGCCAGGUUAAAUGUACUUGAAUAUUCACUUCCAUGUUAGUGAAUCAAAUGUGACUUUAUUCUCUUUUUUUCUUUUUUGUAUCAUAGGUUAUAUGCGUCUGACAUUUAUAGCAGUUCUCCAGUUUUUCAAUAUUUGAGGUUUAUUUGAUUCCUUCUUUAGACAAGUAGGAAAAUCUAUGCAAUAUCAAAGGGUGCUCAAAAUUAAUAGUUUAAUUACUUAACAUGUCCAAGCACAUUGUAUUGCGGAGGUAGUGUAAGAAACACAUACACUUCUAAAAAAGUAUGUGUCUAUGUUGGAGAAUGACACUUGGACAUGCUUUAUGCCAAUGACACUCCUCAUGCUCUAAGCCUCCUACACAUUUCAGACAUGCCCCGAUAUGUGUUGGACAUGCAUUCAAACAUGUUCUAUUAUUUGAAAAAAAAAAAAGAA
Non-coding RNA from Camellia sinensis, 838 nucleotides. NCBI's taxonomy places the organism in Eukaryota, Viridiplantae, Streptophyta, Magnoliopsida, Ericales, Theaceae. The record is from RefSeq and is a predicted model, not a curated record.